Molecule: ribosomal RNA, 274 nt
Filed under: uncultured bacterium
Lineage: Bacteria
Description: partial 16S ribosomal RNA
Rfam family: Bacterial small subunit ribosomal RNA
Source: RNAcentral
AUACGGAGGGUGCAAGCGUUAAUCGGAAUUACUGGGCGUAAAGGAUACGUAGGCGGUUAAAUAAGUUGGAUGUGAAAGCCCCGGGCUCAACCUGGGAACUGCAUUCAAAACUGUUUGACUAGAGUGUAUGAGAGGUUGGCGGAAUUCCAGGUGUAGCAGUGAAAUGCGUAGAUAUCUGGAGGAACAUCAGUGGCGAAGGCGGCCAACUGGCAUAACACUGACGCUGAGGUACGAAAGCGUGGGGAGCGAACGGGAUUAGAUACCCUAGUAGUCC